This 486-nucleotide ribosomal RNA is filed under the name uncultured bacterium. Its description in RNAcentral is "partial 16S ribosomal RNA". It matches the Rfam family "Bacterial small subunit ribosomal RNA", at positions 28 to 507 of the family's 1533-position model. The record is from RNAcentral.
GACGAACGCUGGCGGCGUGCUUAACACAUGCAAGUCGAACGGGAUCCCAAGGCUUUUUGUUUUUGGUGAGAGUGGCGAACGGGUGAGUAACACGUGAGUAACCUGCCCCCUUCUUUUGGAUAACCGCAUGAAAGUGUGGCUAAUACAGGAUAUUCCAGGCUGGUCGCAUGAUUGGUUUGGGAAAUGGUUUGGUCUGGUGGGGGAUGGGCUCGCGGCCUAUCAGCUUGUUGGUGGGGUGAUGGCCUACCAAGGCGGUGACGGGUAGCCGGCCUGAGAGGGUGGGCGGUCACACUGGGACUGAGAUACGGCCCAGACUCCUACGGGAGGCAGCAGUGGGGGAUUUUGCACAAUGGGCGCAAGCCUGAUGCAGCGACGCCGCGUGAGGGAUGAAGGCCUUCGGGUUGUAAACCUCUUUCGCUGGGUUGAAAGGCCAUGCUUUGGGUGUGGUUGAUUUGAACUGGUAAAGAAGAACCGGCUAACUACGUG